This is a small nucleolar RNA of Candida albicans SC5314, 72 nucleotides long. Lineage: Eukaryota; Fungi; Ascomycota; Pichiomycetes; Serinales; Debaryomycetaceae. The record is from RefSeq and is a predicted model, not a curated record.
GCUAUUACCGUGUUGCUUGUCUGUUCUAUUAAUCCUAACGAGUUGGCGAGCGUCAAGCUAUUGGCGAGAGUA